Molecule: ribosomal RNA, 658 nt
Filed under: arctic cyanobacterium 65S1
Lineage: Bacteria; Bacillati; Cyanobacteriota
Description: bacterial SSU rRNA
Rfam family: Bacterial small subunit ribosomal RNA
Source: RNAcentral
CGAAAGCCUGACGGAGCAACGCCGCGUGAGGGAUGAAGGCCUCUGGGCUGUAAACCUCUUUUCUCAAGGAAGAAGACAUGACGGUACUUGAGGAAUAAGCCACGGCUAAUUCCGUGCCAGCAGCCGCGGUAAUACGGGAGUGGCAAGCGUUAUCCGGAAUUAUUGGGCGUAAAGCGUCCGCAGGCGGCCUUGUAAGUCUGUCGUUAAAGCGUGGAGCUCAACUCCAUUUCAGCGAUGGAAACUACAAGGCUUGAGUGUGGUAGGGGCAGAGGGAAUUCCCGGUGUAGCGGUGAAAUGCGUAGAUAUCGGGAAGAACACCAGUGGCGAAGGCGCUCUGCUGGGCCAUAACUGACGCUCAUGGACGAAAGCCAGGGGAGCGAAAGGGAUUAGAUACCCCUGUAGUCCUGGCCGUAAACGAUGAACACUAGGUGUCGGGGGAAUCGACCCCCUCGGUGUCGUAGCUAACGCGUUAAGUGUUCCGCCUGGGGAGUACGCACGCAAGUGUGAAACUCAAAGGAAUUGACGGGGGCCCGCACAAGCGGUGGAGUAUGUGGUUUAAUUCGAUGCAACGCGAAGAACCUUACCAGGGUUUGACAUCCUGCGAAUCCCUUGGAAACGGGGGAGUGCCUUCGGGAGCGCAGAGACAGGUGGGCAUGGC